Molecule: non-coding RNA, 146 nt
Organism: Caenorhabditis elegans
Lineage: Eukaryota; Metazoa; Nematoda; Chromadorea; Rhabditida; Rhabditidae
Source: Ensembl
CUUCCUGUUUUAUUUCAAAGAUCCCAAUCAGGGGUGGGGGAAAUUGCCGUUUGGCAAACUGAUUUAUCGAUAAAUUCGGCAAAUCGGCAAUUAGCCUGUUUGCCGGUUUGCCAGAAAUUUUCAAUUCCGGCAGUUUGCCGAUUUGC